Molecule: ribosomal RNA, 486 nt
Filed under: uncultured bacterium
Lineage: Bacteria
Description: partial 16S ribosomal RNA
Rfam family: Bacterial small subunit ribosomal RNA
Source: RNAcentral
ACUCAAAUGAAUUGACGGGGACCUGCACAAGUGGUGGAGCGUGUGAUUUAAUUCGAUACUAAGCGAAGAACCUUACCGAGGCUUGACAUCUCUGGAACCCCUAAGAAACUAGGGGGUGCCGCAAGGAGCCAGAUGACAGGUGCUGCACGGUUGUCGUCAGCUCGUGCUGUGAAGUGUCCCGUUCAGUCGGUUAACGAGCGCAACCCCUAUUCUGUGUUAGAAAUGUCACAGAAGACUGCCCCAGUUAAUGGGGAGGAAGGUGGGGAUUACGUCAAAUCAGCGUGGCCCUUACGCCUCGGGCCAUACACGCGCUACAAUGGGAAGUACAAUGGGUUGCCAAACCGAGAGGUGGAGCUAAUCCCAUCAAAACUUCCCCCAGUUCGGAUUGGAGGCUGCAACUCGCCUCCAUGAAGCCGGAAUCACUAGUAAUGGCCGGUCAGCCAUACGGCCGUGAAUACGUUCUCAGGUCUUGUACACACCGCCCGU